This 492-nucleotide ribosomal RNA is filed under the name uncultured bacterium. Its description in RNAcentral is "partial 16S ribosomal RNA". It matches the Rfam family "Bacterial small subunit ribosomal RNA", at positions 29 to 507 of the family's 1533-position model. The record is from RNAcentral.
AGUGAACGCUGGCGGUAGGCCUAACACAUGCAAGUCGAACGGCAGCACAGUAAGAGCUUGCUCUUACGGGUGGCGAGUGGCGGACGGGUGAGGAAUACAUCGGAAUCUACUUUUUCGUGGGGGAUAACGUAGGGAAACUUACGCUAAUACCGCAUACGACCUACGGGUGAAAGCAGGGGAUCUUCGGACCUUGCGCGAUUGAAUGAGCCGAUGUCGGAUUAGCUAGUUGGCGGGGUAAAGGCCCACCAAGGCGCCGAUCCGUAGCUGGUCUGAGAGGAUGAUCAGCCACACUGGAACUGAGACACGGUCCAGGCUCCUACGGGAGGCAGCAGUGGGGAAUAUUGGACAAUGGGCGCAAGCCUGAUCCAGCCAUACCGCGUGGGUGAAGAAGGCCUUCGGGUUGUAAAGCCCUUUUGUUGGGAAAGAAAAGCAGCAGGUUAAUACCCCGCUGUUCUGACGGUACCCAAAGAAUAAGCACCGGCUAACUUCGUG